Molecule: long non-coding RNA, 1172 nt
Filed under: Equus caballus (horse)
Lineage: Eukaryota; Metazoa; Chordata; Mammalia; Perissodactyla; Equidae
Description: lncRNA (ENSECAG00000052080.1)
Source: RNAcentral
GAGGGAGAAAUCAGAGAUGACUUCCCAGGAGAAGUGACAGAUGCAGAGGGAUGAGUGGGAGUUCACCAGGAGCCGUGAGACUGAGAGGGAAAGGCAUUCGGGCAGAGGGAACAGUCUAUGCAAAGGUUUGGAGGCCAAAGAGCUGCUACUGAUGAAAGAGUGUGACAUUUGGGAUACCCUGAAAGUGACGAAACUUCCUCUCAUGCCCUGCUCCAAUCCACUCCAGUGCAGUCCCAUCCCGUCCCCUCCCAUGCUGAGGUAUCUUUUCAGAACGGCCAAGGGCAAGGCAUCGUGGAGGAUGCACAGAGCAGGAGGCACAGAGCAGGAGGCAUGCCUUCAGCCCUCAGAGCUCUGAGUCCAGCCAGGAGGCAGGCACAUAAAGCGAAGCAAGAGCAAAAGAUCUGAUUUGUGUUCAAGGCAUCACUCGAUGAUCCCUGAGCACACAUGCUGUGGAUUUGCACCCAACUCACUUGCUAAAGGACGAGCAGCAAAGCUCAUUAGUCGUGAUCUUGUCAUUCAUUCAUUCACCUGACGAAGGUGUAUUGGGCACUGACUUUCUGUGCCUGGCACAUUUUAGAUGUUUGGGAGAGAGCGGUAAACAGGUGAAGAAAAGAAAAAGAAAAUCCUGUGAUGCUGGAUCGAAUCAGCCCCACCCAGCGAGGCGAAGGCCGGGGGUCUGGCUGGCGUGUGUCGGUUCAUCGGGCCCUGGGAACAACGAUGCUUUGAAACGAUGAUGCCAACGUGGCUCUGGUUCCUGGAGGGUCUCAGGGGCUGGCUGGCCCUGGGGAGUCAGGGAGGAGACUGCUGAUACUUGGGGCAAUAAUGAUGGCAGCCAGCAUUUCUUGAGCACUUGCAGUAUGCGAGGCCCAGCUGGAGGCAAGGGUGUCAGCUCAGUUAAUCUCCACAACGGCCCUUGGAGAGGAGGGAUGUGAUUAACCCCUUUCACAGAUGAGGAAACAGGCCCAGAAUGGUGAAGUGUUUCGCUAUUUGUCGUAGAGCUGGUAGGAGAUGGAACCUGGAUUUCACUGCAGUCUCUUUACUGCACAGAUCGUGUCCGAAAAGCCCGGCCCUGGCAGGACACAGCAGAUUAUGUCGUGUUGGAAGUGUGCAACGCGGCUUCCACGCUCGCCUAGCCCCUUCUCCAUGUGGUCAGGCACGGGGAGCUGGAACUC